GCCAGGCGCGUGCUUACCAUGCAGUCGACGAUGAGCCCUUCGGGGUGGAUUAGUGGCGAACGGGUGAGUAACACGUGGGCAAUCUGCCCUUCACUCUGGGACAAGCCCUGGAAACGGGGUCUAAUACCGGAUAACACUCUGUCCUGCAUGGGACGGGGUUGAAAGCUCCGGCGGUGAAGGAUGAGCCCGCGGCCUAUCAGCUUGUUGGUGGGGUAAUGGCCUACCAAGGCGACGACGGGUAGCCGGCCUGAGAGGGCGACCGGCCACACUGGGACUGAGACACGGCCCAGACUCCUACGGGAGGCAGCAGUGGGGAAUAUUGCACAAUGGGCGAAAGCCUGAUGCAGCGACGCCGCGUGAGGGAUGACGGCCUUCGGGUUGUAAACCUCUUUCAGCAGGGAAGAAGCGCAAGUGACGGUACCUGCAGAAGAAGCGCCGGCUAACUACGUGCCAGCAGCCGCGGUAAUACGUAGGGCGCAAGCGUUGUCCGGAAUUAUUGGGCGUAAAGAGCUCGUAGGCGGCUUGUCACGUCGGAUGUGAAAGCCCGGGGCUUAACCCCGGGUCUGCAUUCGAUACGGGCUAGCUAGAGUGUGGUAGGGGAGAUCGGAAUUCCUGGUGUAGCGGUGAAAUGCGCAGAUAUCAUGAGGAACACCGGUGGCGAAGGCGGAUCUCUGGGCCAUUACUGACGCUGAGGAGCGAAAGCGUGGGGAGCGAACAGGAUUAGAUACCCUGGUAGUCCACGCCGUAAACGUUGGGAACUACGUGUUGGCGACAUUCCACGUCGUCGUGCCGCAGCUAACGCAUUAAGUUCCCCGCCUGGGGAGUACGGCCGCAAGGCUAAAACUCAAAGGAAUUGACGGGGCCCGCACAAGCAGCGGAGCAUGUGGCUUAAUUCGACGCAACGCGAAGAACUUACCAAGGCUUGACAUAAUACCGAAAGCAUCAGAGAUGGUGCCCCCUUGUGUCGUAUACAGGUGGUGCAUGCUGUCGUCAGCUCGUGUCUGGAAUGUUGGGUAAGUCCCGCACAGCGCCAACCCUGG
Molecule: ribosomal RNA, 1040 nt
Filed under: Streptomyces sp. YIM 75775
Lineage: Bacteria; Bacillati; Actinomycetota; Actinomycetes; Kitasatosporales; Streptomycetaceae
Description: bacterial SSU rRNA
Rfam family: Bacterial small subunit ribosomal RNA
Source: RNAcentral